UUGCUGGAAAUUACCUCUCCUAUAAGAUACAGUACUCAUUGAUCUCAAAAUUUGAGACUAUUAAGUCAAUUUGAAAAAAAUGAUAAUUUUUGUGAGGUGUGCUUGGUGCUCAUUGUACCAUUGGUAUAAUUUCUGAACAUUUUGGAGCCUUAAGUGAGAUGGGGAUUUUUUUCAAUUUUGUCAAUUUCAAUUCACAAUACUAGAAAUUCCACACGAUUAUACGAAGCUAAUAUUACGGUUAGGGUUUAUUUUGAAAUAGGUAAUGGAGGUUCUAGAAAGACGGCUACAGCUUGAAUAUCGCAAAAGUUGUGAUAAAUAAUGUAGAUAAAUACCUAUCUAUAUCAACAACUUUCUCAUUUUGCUAAAUGGCAUCGACUUUUUGAUGAAGUAUUAUUACAACAUCAAUGAUAAUCAACACAACAAAAUUAGUUAUCACCAUUUUUGUACUUCGCCCAUAGUUCCCAUUCGUUUAGAAAUUGCACUCAGUGGGGCUUUAAUUUAUAAAUACCGCAGGUAUUAGAUAGUUCGGUUACAGUAUCAUUUGUAAAAUUUCACUUUUCGAGUUGUUGGAUUCUUAAAAUUGACAGCGUAAUUUUUCUCGUGUGUUCUUGAUUUAACGAGAGUAAUUUUUCAACACAGCCAUACAAAAUGAGUUGCGGAGAGAACAUCGACGAAGGACAAUUCAACACUGAAAACCAGCGAAUACAAAUACAAUCAUUUUUUUCCAAUUAGUAAAGAAGAUGACUGUCUGCAUUUGAAAUUCAAAGUGAAAGCUCCCCGCGACGCUAUUAUCUUAUUUUCACCUAAACUUUUCCCAGAAAGAGAAUCACCAGUUUACGAAAUAGUUUUGGGCGGAGAAGUAAAUACGUGGUCAACAAUUCGAGCAGGACAAUUGGGCGAGGGAAAAAUCUACGCAAGAGGUAAAGAAGCCUUGGUGUCACCUACCGAAUGGAGUGAAUUCUGGAUUACAAUAAAGGGAAAUAAAAUACAAGUAGGAAGAAAAAACGCAAGUGCUUUCAUGGAAUGGACAGAUUCGAAACCUCUGUCGAUAAAAUAUUUUAGUUUCUCUUGCUACACUGGUGCUUCGGCUUUGUGGAUGUUCCCUGUCUUUAAAGAAGGAGACUUCCGGCUGUGAGAUUUUACAUAUUUUACUAUGAGUAAAUUUGUAUGUAGAUAAAUAUUGCUAGUUACAUACAUUUUAAAUCAAGUACGAAGAGAGCACAUCAAGAAGUCAUUUUGUAACGUUUAAACUUAAUUGUUAUUUCAACAUUAUACGUAGGUAUGUAGUUGCA
Long non-coding RNA from Planococcus citri (citrus mealybug), 1292 nucleotides. RefSeq lists it as uncharacterized. Lineage: Eukaryota; Metazoa; Arthropoda; Insecta; Hemiptera; Pseudococcidae. The transcript has 2 exons. The record is from RefSeq and is a predicted model, not a curated record.